AAUAAGCUAUUUAAGAGCGUAAGGUGGAUGCCUUGGCUCUCAGAGGCGAUGAAGGACGUGAUAAGCUGCGAUAAGCUGCGGGGAUUGGCACACACAAUUUGAUCCGUAGAUUUCCGAAUGGGGCAACCCACUAUAUUGAAGAUAUAGUAUCCGUUAAGGAAGCAAACCCAGGGAACUGAAACAUCUAAGUACCUGGAGGAAUAGAAAACAAAAGUGAUUCCGCUAGUAGUGGCGAGCGAACGCGGAACAGCCCAAACCAAAAUUGUUUCGGCAAUUUUGGGGUUGUA
This 287-nucleotide ribosomal RNA is filed under the name uncultured Flavobacteriaceae bacterium. RNAcentral describes it as "partial 23S ribosomal RNA". It matches the Rfam family "Bacterial large subunit ribosomal RNA", at positions 1 to 302 of the family's 2925-position model. The record is from RNAcentral. Lineage: Bacteria; Pseudomonadati; Bacteroidota; Flavobacteriia; Flavobacteriales; Flavobacteriaceae.